RNAcentral lists this ribosomal RNA (510 nucleotides) under Pelagodinium bei. RNAcentral's name for it is "eukaryotic LSU rRNA". It matches the Rfam family "Eukaryotic large subunit ribosomal RNA", at positions 295 to 813 of the family's 3401-position model. Lineage: Eukaryota; Dinophyceae; Suessiales; Suessiaceae. The record is from RNAcentral.
GGUGGUAAAUUUCAUCUAAAGCUAAAUAUAGGCUUGAGACCGAUAGCAAACAAGUACCAUGAGGGAAAGAUGAAAAGGACUUUGAAAAGAGAGUUAAAAGUGCUUGAAAUCGCUGAAAGGGAAGCGAAUGGAACCAGUCUUCUGGCUGAGAUUGUUGCGUGCUACUGUGAUGCCUGGCUGCUUCAACGCAAGUGUGGCAGUUAGAGUUGAUCAGCUGUGCGUGAUGUUUCUCAGCUUGUUAGUCAACCUUUGUUCGUGCUUGGGGAUAACUGCGGGUUCCAUGUUCUUCUCUGCGGAGUUGAGCUCGUGCCUGUAAGGACUCAGGUGUGUACAAUUGGUGACAAAAUGGUUCUCUUCGACCCGUCUUGAAACACGGACCAAGGAGUCUAGCACAUGUGCAAGUUCACAGGUGGCAAGCCUGCUUGCGCAAUGAAGGUGACUGCUGGGAUAUUUGCACCAGCAACCGACCAAUCAAUUGAGAGAAGUUUGAGUAUGAGCAUAUGUGUUAGG